RNAcentral lists this ribosomal RNA (459 nucleotides) under uncultured bacterium. Its description in RNAcentral is "partial 16S ribosomal RNA". It matches the Rfam family "Bacterial small subunit ribosomal RNA", at positions 338 to 795 of the family's 1533-position model. The record is from RNAcentral.
CCUACGGGAGGCAGCAGUGAGGAAUAUUGGUCAAUGGGCGGAAGCCUGAACCAGCCAAGUCGCGUGCGGGAUGAAGGCCCUACGGGUCGUAAACCGCUUUUGCACGGGGAUAACACCCUCCACUUGUGGCGGUCUGCAUGUACCGUACGAAUAAGCGCCGGCUAAUUCCGUGCCAGCAGCCGCGGUAAUACGGAAGGUCCGAGCGUUAUCCGGAUUCAUUGGGCUUAAAGGGAGCGUAGGCGGGCGUUAAAGUCAGCUGUAAAAUCGCGGGACUCAACCGCGCACCGCAGUUGAAACUGGACGCCUUGAGUUCACAAGAGGCAGGCGGAAUUCGUGGUGUAGCGGUGAAAUGCAUAGAUAUCACGAGGAACCCCGAUUGCGAAGGCAGCCUGCCGGGGUGCGACUGACGCUGAGGCUCGAAGGUGCGGGUAUCAAACAGGAUUAGAUACCCUUGUAGUC